ACAACAUUUGGCACCGUCGGUCUACCGAGCAAUUUCACCCGCUCCGUGGAAGAUCUUCGCUUCGUCGU
RNAcentral lists this microRNA precursor (68 nucleotides) under Bombyx mori (domestic silkworm). RNAcentral's name for it is "mir-2774 microRNA precursor family". It matches the Rfam family "mir-2774 microRNA precursor family". The record is from Rfam by way of RNAcentral. Lineage: Eukaryota; Metazoa; Arthropoda; Insecta; Lepidoptera; Bombycidae.